GGUGGCAAUGGCGAAGGGGAACCACCUGUACCCAUGCCGAACACAGAAGUUAAGCCCUUUAGCGCCGAAGAUACUUGGUGGGUAACUGCCCGGGAAAAUAGGUCGCCGCCGGAU
This 114-nucleotide ribosomal RNA is filed under the name Gehongia tenuis. Lineage: Bacteria; Bacillati; Bacillota; Clostridia; Christensenellales; Christensenellaceae. The record is from RNAcentral.